UGAAACUAUAUGGGGGUUUAAAUUCGUGCGAAAUAGUUGAAGUAUAAGGCCACGGUUUGCCGAAUGGUAGAGGCACGCUUAAAAGUAACCAAUUAGUAGUGUAUGUUUCGUACAAAGAUAUAAUAAUUUUUCAUAACAAUUUGGUCGUAAAAGAGUUUUAUUUUAGAUAAAAAAAUACGGUAAAAUUGAUUAUGUUCGAUACAUUUGAUUAAAAUCGUGAAAACAAAAAAAAUAUUUCAAAUAUGUUGUGCAACUUCAACAAUCGUAGUGAUGUUUUUUAAGCGUGUAUGCAUUUGUGCAAUUGAAAAAAAAAAACAAAACAAAACAAAAAUCACUAAGUUGCGUAUUUCUAAUCGAAGUUUUGAUUGCCUGUAAAAGUAUAUGUUUCCCGAAAUUUAAUUGUGAUCUGGUUAAACUAUAGCGCUGGAUCGCGAUACUCGAGCAAGCUGUUGGAUGCAAAAUGAAGCUAGCCUACCGCUUUCGCUGCCUCCACCAGCAACUAGAGUUAGACGAGGAACAGAUUCGAGAACAAACAGUGACAUAAAUCAUGCUAAAAAGUACGAUCCAGCCUACAAAGCAGCAGCAAAGCUACAACUUCACUUCGCCACAUAACCGGUAUUAGAAAUUAUGCAGUGCUAAGAAUGCGAAAUAUUUACAGUUGCAUUGAACAGCACACUUUUUGUAGUGAGGAUAAUUUGUUUGAUAAUAAAACAUGAUUUAUUGGAGGACAGUGAGA
Molecule: long non-coding RNA, 736 nt
Organism: Aedes aegypti (yellow fever mosquito)
Lineage: Eukaryota; Metazoa; Arthropoda; Insecta; Diptera; Culicidae
Exons: 2
Source: RefSeq, a predicted model, not a curated record